UAGCUUUGUCCUAAUUCAAGCAACUUUAACUUUGACUAAGUUUUUAGAAAAAUAUAUUAAUAUCUACAAUUUCAAAUAAAUGCACUAUGAACUAUGAAGACACGUUUCAUGGAGGGCUUAAUGAAACUAAUUCGAUGUUGUACACGCUGAUGCAUUUUUCUAUAAACUUUGCCAAAGUUGGAGAAGUUUGGUUUAGGAUGAAACUAA
RNAcentral lists this microRNA precursor (207 nucleotides) under Sorghum bicolor (sorghum). RNAcentral's name for it is "MIR1435 microRNA precursor family". It matches the Rfam family "MIR1435 microRNA precursor family". Lineage: Eukaryota; Viridiplantae; Streptophyta; Magnoliopsida; Poales; Poaceae. The record is from Rfam by way of RNAcentral.